AAGCCCAGCUGGACAAUCUGAAGCUCCUUUGGAGAAUAGCAAGGAUGAAGGUUUCUACUAUGAAACUUUCCUAGUUCCCCUCUGAUUUAUUACUCAUUUCACAUCCUUGCUUCUUGCAUGCAUGUUCAUGACAAACAACCAGAUACAAGUAUUACAUUGUGAGCCACCAAAUGUGUGAUUCCAAAAUAAGGUGUUGAUGCAUGAUAUACGUACACUUUACAAUUUAUGACAAAAACCAGAUACAAGUAUUACAUUGCUGAGCCGCCAAAUGUGUUAUUCCAAAAUAAGGUGUUGAUGCAUGAUAUACGUGCACUUUACAUGUUAUCUGUGGAAAAGAUGGAUGGUAAGAAAAGGAACUUCUAGUAUAGUUCAUGUUAAAAGUUUGGUAUAUUAUUCUUCUGUUGCUUCAUCCUAUUGCAUCUUUGUCAGUCCUUACACAGCUCCAGUUUUACGUAUAGAGUGCUUUCUUUUGACCAACACAUGUGCUUUUAGGUUUGACUGACAUAUUGAGAGAGAAUCAUCUUCUUGCUUUGGGCAAAUCUUGAAAUUUACUUAAGGACAUAAUGUCGUGUUAUGUGAGAAAGACAAAUUAAUGACGUGU
Molecule: long non-coding RNA, 601 nt
Filed under: Nicotiana benthamiana
Lineage: Eukaryota; Viridiplantae; Streptophyta; Magnoliopsida; Solanales; Solanaceae
Description: long non-coding RNA (NBEN_LNC029171)
Source: RNAcentral